RNAcentral lists this ribosomal RNA (450 nucleotides) under uncultured bacterium. RNAcentral describes it as "partial 16S ribosomal RNA". It matches the Rfam family "Bacterial small subunit ribosomal RNA", at positions 29 to 523 of the family's 1533-position model. The record is from RNAcentral.
AGCGAACGCUGGCGGCAGGCUUAACACAUGCAAGUCGAACGCAUCCUUCGGGGUGAGUGGCAGACGGGUGAGUAACACGUGGGAACGUACCUCUUUGUACGGAAUAGCUUUUGGAAACGAAAGGUAAUACCGUAUACGCCCUUUUGGGGGAAAGAUUUAUCGCAGAGAGAUCGGCCCGCGUCUGAUUAGCUAGUUGGUGAGGUAAUGGCUCACCAAGGCGACGAUCAGUAGCUGGUCUGAGAGGAUGAUCAGCCACACUGGGACUGAGACACGGCCCAGACUCCUACGGGAGGCAGCAGUGGGGAAUAUUGGACAAUGGGGGCAACCCUGAUCCAGCCAUGCCGAGUGAGUGAUGAAGGCCUUAGGGUUGUAAAGCUCUUUUGUUCGGGAAGAUAAUGACUGUACCGGAAGAAUAAGCCCCGGCUAACUUCGUGCCAGCAGCCGCCGUAA